RNAcentral lists this ribosomal RNA (253 nucleotides) under uncultured bacterium. RNAcentral describes it as "partial 16S ribosomal RNA". It matches the Rfam family "Bacterial small subunit ribosomal RNA", at positions 524 to 776 of the family's 1533-position model. The record is from RNAcentral.
UACGUAGGGGGCGAGCGUUGUCCGGAUUCAUUGGGCGUAAAGAGCUCGUAGGCGGCUUGGUAAGUCGGGUGUGAAACCUCCAGCUCAACCUGGAGACGCCACUCGAUACUGCCAUGGCUAGAGUCCGGUAGGGGCCCACGGAAUUCCUGGUGUAGCGGUGAAAUGCGCAGAUAUCAGGAGGAACACCGGUGGCGAAGGCGGUGGGCUGGGCCGGAACUGACGCUGAGGAGCGAAAGCGUGGGGAGCGAACAGG